Molecule: ribosomal RNA, 490 nt
Filed under: Pseudomonas fluorescens
Lineage: Bacteria; Pseudomonadati; Pseudomonadota; Gammaproteobacteria; Pseudomonadales; Pseudomonadaceae
Description: bacterial SSU rRNA
Rfam family: Bacterial small subunit ribosomal RNA
Source: RNAcentral
AAUGCCUAGGAAUCUGCCUAGUAGUGGGGGAUAACGUCCGGAAACGGGCGCUAAUACCGCAUACGUCCUACGGGAGAAAGUGGGGGAUCUUCGGACCUCACGCUAUUAGAUGAGCCUAGGUCGGAUUAGCUAGUUGGUGAGGUAAUGGCUCACCAAGGCUACGAUCCGUAACUGGUCUGAGAGGAUGAUCAGUCACACUGGAACUGAGACACGGUCCAGACUCCUACGGGAGGCAGCAGUGGGGAAUAUUGGACAAUGGGCGAAAGCCUGAUCCAGCCAUGCCGCGUGUGUGAAGAAGGUCUUCGGAUUGUAAAGCACUUUAAGUUGGGAGGAAGGGCAGUUACCUAAUACGUGAUUGUUUUGACGUUACCGACAGAAUAAGCACCGGCUAACUCUGUGCCAGCAGCCGCGGUAAUACAGAGGGUGCAAGCGUUAAUCGGAAUUACUGGGCGUAAAGCGCGCGUAGGUGGUUUGUUAAGUUGAAUGUGAA